GGAUAACCUGCCCUAAGGAAGGGGAUAACCCCGGGAAACUGGGGAUAAUACCCUAUAGGUUACAGAUGCUGGAAUGCCCUGUAACCAAAAGUUCCGACGCCUUAGGAUGGAUCUGCGGCCGAUUAGGUAGUUGUUGGGGUAAUGGCCCAACAAGCCUGUAAUCGGUACGGGUUGUGGGAGCAAAAGCCCGGAGUUGGAUUCUGAGACACGAAUCCAGGCCCUACGGGGCGCAGCAGGCGCGAAAACUUUACAAUGCGGGCAACCGUGAUAAGGGAACCUCAAGUGCCUGUAAACGCAGGCUGUUCAGGUGUCUAAAUCACACCUGGAGAAAGGGCCGGGCAAGACCGG
RNAcentral lists this ribosomal RNA (348 nucleotides) under uncultured Methanoculleus sp. RNAcentral describes it as "bacterial SSU rRNA". It matches the Rfam family "Archaeal small subunit ribosomal RNA", at positions 102 to 455 of the family's 1478-position model. The record is from RNAcentral. Lineage: Archaea; Methanobacteriati; Methanobacteriota; Methanomicrobia; Methanomicrobiales; Methanomicrobiaceae.